GAUGAACGCUGGCGGCGUGCCUAAUACAUGCAAGUCGAGCGAACAGAUGAGGAGCUUGCUCCUCUGACGUUAGCGGCGGACGGGUGAGUAACACGUGGAUAACCUACCUAUAAGACUGGGAUAACUUCGGGAAACCGGAGCUAAUACUGGAUAAUAUAUUGAACCGCAUGGUUCAAUAGUGAAAGACGGUUUUGCUGUCACUUAUAGAUGGAUCCGCGCCGCAUUAGCUAGUUGGUAAGGUAACGGCUUACCAAGGCGACGAUGCGUAGCCGACCUGAGAGGGUGAUCGGCCACCCUGGAACUGAGCCACGGUCCAGACUCCUACGGGAGGCAGCAGUAGGGAAUCUUCCGCAAUGGGCGAAAGCCUGACGGAGCAACGCCGCGUGAGUGAUGAAGGUCUUCGGAUCGUAAAACUCUGUUAUUAGGGAAGAACAAAUGUGUAAGUAACUAUGCACGUCUUGACGGUACCUAAUCAGAAAGCCACGGCUAACUACGUG
RNAcentral lists this ribosomal RNA (497 nucleotides) under uncultured bacterium. RNAcentral describes it as "partial 16S ribosomal RNA". It matches the Rfam family "Bacterial small subunit ribosomal RNA", at positions 28 to 507 of the family's 1533-position model. The record is from RNAcentral.